UACAGGAUGGCGGCCAUCCAGGAAU
Molecule: non-coding RNA, 25 nt
Filed under: Rattus norvegicus (Norway rat)
Lineage: Eukaryota; Metazoa; Chordata; Mammalia; Rodentia; Muridae
Source: RNAcentral